RNAcentral lists this ribosomal RNA (1236 nucleotides) under metagenome. RNAcentral describes it as "bacterial LSU rRNA". It matches the Rfam family "Bacterial large subunit ribosomal RNA", at positions 1564 to 2810 of the family's 2925-position model. The record is from RNAcentral.
UGAGUACGAGAUGCUACGGCGUCGAAGCAGUGUAUGUCAGACUUCCAAGAAAAGCUCGCAAUGUCAUAAAUAAAUAAUGCCUGUACCAUAACCGACACAGGUGGGUAGGUAGAGUAUACUAAGGGGCGCGAGAUAACUCCCUCUAAGGAACUCGGCAAAAUAACUCCGUAACUUCGGGAGAAGGAGUGCCUUAUUUUAUAAGGUUGCAAUAACAAGAUCCAAGCAACUGUUUACCAAAAACACAGGUCUCCGCUAAGUCGUAAGACGAUGUAUGGGGGCUGACGCCUGCCCAGUGCCAGAAGGUUAAAGAAGUCGGUUAGCUUUGUGAAGUUGAUAACUGAAGCCCUGGUGAACGGCGGCCGUAACAAUAACGGUCCUAAGGUAGCGAAAUUUUUUGUCGGGUAAGUUCCGACCCGCACGAAAGGCGUAAUGAUUUGGAUACUGUCUCGGAGAGGGACUCGGUGAAAUAGACUUGUCUGUGAAGAUGCGGACUACCUGCACCAGGACAGAAAGACCCUAUGAAGCUUUACUGUAACUUGAAAUUGAAAUUGGACUUUAUUUGCGCAGUAUAGGUGGGAGGCGUUGAAAAUAAUCUUGUGGGAUUUUUGGAGCCAUUAGUGAGAUACCACUCCUAUAAUGUUAGAUUUUUAAUUUUGUAUUAUAAUCUGGUCAAAGAACAGUUUCAGGCGGGCAGUUUGACUGGGGCGGUCGCCUCCCAAAUGGUAACGGAGGCGUACAAAGGUUUCCUCUGAACGGGUAGAAAUCGUAUUUAGAGUGUAAAGGCAUAAGGAAGCUUGACUGUGAGACUUAUAAGUCGAGCAGGGACGAAAGUCGGUCUUAGUGAUCUGACGGUGCUGAGUGGAAAGGCCGUCACUCAACGGAUAAAAGUUACUCUAGGAUAACAGGCUGAUCUCCCCCAAGAGUUCAUAUCGAUGGGGAGGUUUGGCACCUCGAUGUCGGCUCAUCCCAUCCUGGGGCGGUAGUACGUCCCAAGGGUUGGGCUGUUUGCCCAUGAAAGCGGUACGCGAGCUGGGUUCAGAACGUCGUGAGACAGUUCGGUCCAUAUCCGGUGUAGGCGUUAGAAUAUUGAGAGGAGCCUUCUUUAGUACGAGAGGAUUGAGAAGGACAUACCUCUGGUGUACCAGUUAUUGUGCCAAUGGUAAAUGCUGGGUAGCUAUGUAUGGAGAGGAUAACCGCUGAAAGCAUCUAAGCGGGAAGCCCACCUCAAGAUGAGUA